This 615-nucleotide ribosomal RNA is filed under the name uncultured Wilcoxina. Its description in RNAcentral is "eukaryotic LSU rRNA". The stretch from base 248 to 401 matches the Rfam family "5.8S ribosomal RNA". Lineage: Eukaryota; Fungi; Ascomycota; Pezizomycetes; Pezizales; Pyronemataceae. The record is from RNAcentral.
UAGAGGAAGUAAAAGUCGUAACAAGGUUUCCGUAGGUGAACCUGCGGAAGGAUCAUUAAAAGUAUAUAGUUAUACAUUCUGUGUAUCGACUAAAUAUACCCAUUCUGAGUACCUUGCCUGUUGCUUCCAUGGAGCCUGACACAUGUCACUCUGGGGAUUUACAUCCCGAGGGAGCCUCCGUGGAAGGUAAUCAAUUAACUCUUGAAUCCAAUGUCAUCUGUCUGAUAAUGUUUAUAACAAAUGUUAAAACUUUCAACAACGGAUCUCUUGGUUCUCGCAUCGAUGAAGAACGCAGCGAAAUGCGAUAAGUAGUGUGAAUUGCAGAAUUCAGUGAAUCAUCGAAUCUUUGAACGCACAUUGCGCCUCCUGGUAUUCCGGGAGGCAUGCCUGUUCGAGCGUCAUUAAAUACCACUCAAGCUCUUCUGCUUGGUCAUGGAAGAAGAGAAUGCUUGCAUCCUCUCUUCUGAAAUCGAACGGCGGACUGCCUCAUGUGCCUCGCGUAGUAAGUUCAUCUUUUCGCUUGGAGUGUGAGAUAGUCUCGCCAUCAACCCCCAUACUUCUAAGGUUGACCUCGGAUCAGGUAGGGAUACCCGCUGAACUUAAGCAUAUCAAUAA